Molecule: long non-coding RNA, 521 nt
Organism: Gasterosteus aculeatus aculeatus (three-spined stickleback)
Lineage: Eukaryota; Metazoa; Chordata; Actinopteri; Perciformes; Gasterosteidae
Source: Ensembl
GAAUACAAGUACAGGUACCUACAUGCAGUAAAGAAAUUAAUGACUGGAUACAAGUACAGGUACCUACAUGCAGUAAAGGUACUAAUGACUGGAUACAAGUACCUACAUGCAGUAAAGGUACUAAUGGCUGAAUACAAGUACCUACAUGCAGUGAAUGUACUAAUGAUUGAAUACAAGUACAGGUACCUACAUGCAGUAAAGGUACUAAUGACUGGAUACAAGUACCCACAUGCAGUGAAGGUACUAAUGGCUGAAUACAAGUACCCACAUGCUGUAAAGGUACUAAUGACUGAAUACAAGUACCUACAUACAUUAAAGGUACUAAUGACUGGAUACAAGUACCUACAUGCAGUAAAGGUACUAAUGACAUACAAGUACCUACAUGCGACAAGGGUACUAAUACCACACUGCAAGUCCAAAUACAUACAUGUAGUAAAACUAUUAAUGGAACACUACAGGUAAGAGUACAUAAAUGUAGUGAAGGUACUAAUACCACAUUACAAGUUCAAGUUCAUGCAUAU